RNAcentral lists this ribosomal RNA (254 nucleotides) under uncultured bacterium. Its description in RNAcentral is "partial 16S ribosomal RNA". It matches the Rfam family "Bacterial small subunit ribosomal RNA", at positions 524 to 776 of the family's 1533-position model. The record is from RNAcentral.
UACGGGGGAUGCAAGCGUUAUCCGGAUUUAUUGGGUUUAAAGGGUGCGUAGGCUGUGAGGUAAGUCAGCGGAGAAAUGCCCCCGCUCAACGGGGUGAAGUGCCAUUGAUACUGCCUUGCUGGAAUGCGGAUGCCGUGGGAGGAAUGUGUGGUGUAGCGGUGAAAUGCAUAGAUAUCACACAGAACACCGAUUGCGAAGGCAUCUCACGAAUCCGCUAUUGACGCUGAUGCACGAAAGCGUGGGUAUCAAACAGG